GCGCCCGUGAUGUAACGGUAGCCUACCUGCUUGCCAUGCAGGAUGCGCGGGUUCAACUCCCGCUGGGCGCU
Molecule: transfer RNA, 71 nt
Filed under: Planctomycetaceae bacterium SCGC AG-212-F19
Lineage: Bacteria; Pseudomonadati; Planctomycetota; Planctomycetia; Planctomycetales; Planctomycetaceae
Rfam family: tRNA
About the family: Transfer RNA (tRNA) molecules are approximately 80 nucleotides in length.
Source: Rfam by way of RNAcentral